GAUCCUCUGCAGUGUUCGAGGUGCUUUUCAAUAACCGCUCUCGGCCUUUGAGUCAUUACGGGAGCCAAAACCGCCGUGGAAGAUGCUAGGCCGCACACCGGAAAGCAGACGCCGCGUAGGAGGCGCCCACCUUAACAUAAAAAGGACUAGAGCCUUUGGGCAUACGGCACAGGUGGAGGAUCA
RNAcentral lists this non-coding RNA (183 nucleotides) under Ereboglobus luteus. RNAcentral describes it as "6S / SsrS RNA". It matches the Rfam family "6S / SsrS RNA". From Rfam's summary of the family: E. coli 6S RNA was the first non coding RNA to be sequenced, but its function was unknown until recently. Lineage: Bacteria; Pseudomonadati; Verrucomicrobiota; Opitutia; Opitutales; Opitutaceae. The record is from Rfam by way of RNAcentral.